UUGCACGCUGGCGGCAUGCUUUACCCCUGCAAGUCGCACGGUAACAGGCCUUCGGGUGCUGACGAGUGGCGAACGGGUGAGUAAUGCAUCGGAACGUGCCCAGAGGUGGGGGAUAACGCAGCGAAAGCUGUGCUAAUACCGCAUGUGAUCUGAGGAUGAAAGCGGGGGACCAGGCAGCAAUGUUUGGCCUCGCGCCUUUGGAGCGGCCGAUGUCAGAUUAGGUAGUUGGUGGGGUAAAGGCCUACCAAGCCGACGAUCUGUAGCUGGUCUGAGAGGACGACCAGCCACACUGGGACUGAGACACGGCCCAGACUCCUACGGGAGGCAGCAGUGGGGAAUUUUGGACAAUGGGCGCAAGCCUGAUCCAGCAAUGCCGCGUGCGGGAAGAAGGCCUUCGGGUUGUAAACCGCUUUUGUACGGAACGAAAAGGCUCUGGCUAAUACCUGGGGCUGAUGACGGUACCGUAAGAAUAAGCACCGGCUAACUACGUG
Molecule: ribosomal RNA, 491 nt
Filed under: uncultured bacterium
Lineage: Bacteria
Description: partial 16S ribosomal RNA
Rfam family: Bacterial small subunit ribosomal RNA
Source: RNAcentral